RNAcentral lists this non-coding RNA (45 nucleotides) under Schistosoma curassoni. Lineage: Eukaryota; Metazoa; Platyhelminthes; Trematoda; Strigeidida; Schistosomatidae. The record is from RNAcentral.
AUCCAACCGAAGAAUCCUAAAUACGAUGAAACGUGCGUCCUGGAU